GUUUUGGAUAAGGGUUGCACUGAGAACUAUAUCUGUCAUAGCCAUACGAAUGGUGCUGAUCACCCAGCUAAGAGCUUUAUUUAAUGUCCACGAUAACCAGUGCAGGAGACCUUGGUAUCCCCAUCUUACAGGGGAUCUUCUCGACCCAGGGAUCAAACCCGGGCCUCCUGCAUCUCUGGGAUUGGCAGGGCUAAUUGAGUCAGAAGAGAAUGAACAACGCGUCUUUCUCCCCACUCAGCAGCAGCAGCAGGAAACAGCUUCUCUAUCACCAACCCAAAACCCUACUCUCCUCCUUACAUGAACAACAGACUCCAGCAACCUCUGUGCCCAAGGAGGUGGUCCCAAAAACCAUGCAUUAACCAUGGGACUGAAGCCAAGUUGCUUUAAGUCUGCAUUCAGAAAGCACAGGCUUGCUCCAACUCUUUGCAAGAGAAUCUGCUGGGAACAGGCAGAUUUCUGCACUAUGCCUCCCACCUACUGACUCAGAGUCUCUGAGGGCAGGACCUGGAAAUGGCAUUUUAAACAAGCUCCCCAGAAGAACCUGAUGCUCCUGGAGUUGCAGAACCACUGGCCUCAGGGUUGCAUGUAAGCACAUAUUCCCACAUCUACCAGAGGCUGAGAGGGAGGAGGAUGGAGAAAGUGGAAAGGGGAUGCUACUCCCCAAAAUGAUGUGAUAUGGAUGUGCCCCAGACCUGGAGCCAACUG
Bos taurus (domestic cattle) is the source of this 705-nucleotide long non-coding RNA. The record is from Ensembl. Lineage: Eukaryota; Metazoa; Chordata; Mammalia; Artiodactyla; Bovidae.